UACGAAGGGGGCUAGCGUUGCUCGGAAUCACUGGGCGUAAAGCGCACGUAGGCGGCUUGUUAAGUCAGGGGUGAAAUCCUGGAGCUCAACUCCAGAACUGCCUUUGAUACUGGCAAGCUUGGAGUCCGGGAGGGGUGAGUGGAACUGCGAGUGUAGAGGUGAAAUUCGUAGAUAUUCGCAAGAACACCAGUGGCGAAGGCGGCUCACUGGCCCGGUACUGACGCUGAGGUGCGAAAGCGUGGGGAGCAAACAGG
Molecule: ribosomal RNA, 254 nt
Filed under: uncultured bacterium
Lineage: Bacteria
Description: partial 16S ribosomal RNA
Rfam family: Bacterial small subunit ribosomal RNA
Source: RNAcentral